This is a long non-coding RNA of Haliotis rubra (blacklip abalone), 166 nucleotides long. RefSeq lists it as uncharacterized. The transcript has 3 exons. NCBI's taxonomy places the organism in Eukaryota, Metazoa, Mollusca, Gastropoda, Lepetellida, Haliotidae. The record is from RefSeq and is a predicted model, not a curated record.
GAUCAAUCAUGAAUCACAGCUCCUGACAGAGGGUCAAUCAUAAAUCACAGUUACUGAUCACAGUUCCUCACAGAGGAUCAAUCAUGAAUCACAGUUCCUCACAGAGGAUCAAUCAUGAAUCACAGUUCCUCACAGAGGAUCAAUCAUGAAUCACAGUUCCUGACAG